Molecule: unclassified non-coding RNA, 281 nt
Filed under: Helotiales sp.
Lineage: Eukaryota; Fungi; Ascomycota; Leotiomycetes; Helotiales
Description: partial contains 5.8S ribosomal RNA, internal transcribed spacer 2, and large subunit ribosomal RNA
Rfam family: 5.8S ribosomal RNA (bases 1-71)
Source: RNAcentral
GUGAAUCAUCGAAUCUUUGAACGCACAUUGCGCCCCUUGGUAUUCCGGGGGGCAUGCCUGUUCGAGCGUCAUUACAACCCUCAAGCCUGGCUUGGUAUUGGGCUUCGCCACUAACCUGGCGGGCCUUAAAAUCAGUGGCGGUGCCUCCGAGGCCCUGAGCGCAGUAAAUAUCCUCGCUAUAGGGACCCGGUGGUUACUGGCCAGCAACCCCAACUUUCUAAGUUUGACCUCGGAUCAGGUAGGGAUACCCGCUGAACUUAAGCAUAUCAAUAAGCGGAGGA